AGAGCGAACGUUAGCGGCGGGCCUAACACAUGCAAGUCGAGCGAGAAAGGGACUUCGGUCCUGAGUAAAGCGGCGGACGGGUGAGAAUAUCGUAGGUAACCUGCCUUUCACUGGGGGACAACGGUCCGAAAGGACCGCUAAUACCGCAUACGUCGUCUGGGAUUUCGGUCUUGGACGGGAAAGCUGGGGCAACCUGGCGGUGGAAGAGGGGCCUGCGUCGCAUCAGCUAGUUGGUGGGGUAAUGGCCUACCAAGGCUAAGACGCGUAGCUGGUCUGAGAGGAUGAUCAGCCACACUGGGACUGAGACACGGCCCAGACUCCUACGGGAGGCAGCAGUGGGAAUAGUUGGACAAUGGGCGCAAGCCUGAUCCAGCCACGCCGCGUGAGUGAUGAAGGCCGUUCGGGUACGUAAACGCUCGUGGUGGGAGGGACCGAACCGGCCGGUCGGACGUAAUACUCCAUCGGCAGUGACCGGUACCUCC
RNAcentral lists this ribosomal RNA (482 nucleotides) under uncultured soil bacterium. RNAcentral describes it as "bacterial SSU rRNA". It matches the Rfam family "Bacterial small subunit ribosomal RNA", at positions 26 to 482 of the family's 1533-position model. The record is from RNAcentral.